Molecule: ribosomal RNA, 244 nt
Filed under: uncultured bacterium
Lineage: Bacteria
Description: partial small subunit ribosomal RNA
Rfam family: Bacterial small subunit ribosomal RNA
Source: RNAcentral
AGAAUCAACGCUGGCGGCGUGCCUAACACAUGCAAGUCGCACGAGAAAGGGGAGCAAUCCCUGAGUAAAGUGGCGCACGGGUGAGUAACACGUGACUUAUCUACCUCCGAGUGGGGAAUAACCUAGAGAAAUCUGGGCUAAUACCGCAUAACACUUACGAGUCAAAGCAGCAAUGCGCUUGGAGAGGAGGUCGCGGCCGAUUAGCUAGUUGGCGGGUAAUGGCCCACCAAGGCGAUGAUCGGUA